Molecule: long non-coding RNA, 755 nt
Organism: Vicia villosa (hairy vetch)
Lineage: Eukaryota; Viridiplantae; Streptophyta; Magnoliopsida; Fabales; Fabaceae
Exons: 3
Source: RefSeq, a predicted model, not a curated record
UUGAGAUGAAUUAAUGUGUUUUCGUCUCCGAUUAUAUGGUAUCUUAGAAACUCAUAUUUCAUUUCAAUCUCUCUUUCACUAUUUCUCACUCUGUUCAUAGUUGGAACUUAAUGUUUUGUGACUUUUGAACCAUUUAGCAAUGACCUUACUAUGGUACUUGGACAACUAAUACACAAUAUUUUUGAUUGCAUUGGUGAGCUAGAGAUGAUUUUCAGAAUUAACACUUAUAAGUGGCUGCCCAUAUCUUCAAUUGAUCUGGCUGCCCAUAUCUAUUUCAUUUGUUGCUCAAGUGAAGGUAUCUGAAGAUAUGGAUGCUGUGAAUUCUAAAUAAUAUUGGACAAUAUUUUUCAACAAAAAAGAUGUGAAAUUAGCUUGUCAGUAGUGGUUUCACCAAUGCAGAAUCAAGGGAGAGGGAGUGCAAAAUCAGACAUUCAUAGUGAAUAUAUAAAGUAUCAGAUGUAAAAUUUUAAGAACAAUAUAAUAAUGCAAAGUUUUUAUAUUGGCUUAGUCUUUGCACAGGAGAGUUUCAUAUUGAUGCUUUUGAUAUAUAAUUUUUUGUAGAUUAUGUAGUUUAUACAUGGAUCUGAUUUCUAUAUCACCCUCACCCUUAGCACCAUGGAACUGAUAUUGGAGAAUUGACAUUAUAAUUUUGCAUUUUGAAUUUGAUUUUUAAUUGAGAUUGAGAUUUUGCAUCUGCAUUUUAAAAGUUAUGUAGCUGUUGCAUAUAUUGAUUAGGUUUAUUCUAAGUUUUCAGG